Molecule: long non-coding RNA, 645 nt
Filed under: Sorghum bicolor (sorghum)
Lineage: Eukaryota; Viridiplantae; Streptophyta; Magnoliopsida; Poales; Poaceae
Description: long non-coding RNA (SBIC_LNC009684)
Source: RNAcentral
CAGUAUCUAUUUUGCAGAAAAUUUUGAAACUAAAGGCACUCCCAAUGCAGAAACUACCAUGGUUUCUAUAGACAUUAAUUGCAAUGCCACCUAAUCAUUUUGCUGAUGUGGUAAUGUAGUUAUUGAAGAGAGAGAAAAAAAUCAUAGAAACUAGGUCUAAGAUAGAAACCAUGUCUACACAAUUCAAGACAUGAAGUGAUAUGAUUAGCUAAGAAUGGAGAGAGAAUGAAUGUGAUUGGAUAUAAAAAUAUUCUAUAGAAACUAUCCAUUUAGAGCAUACUUUCUAUAUAUAAUAUCUAUAAAAAUUAAUGAGUAUAGAAAUUAUAUGUAGUUUCUAGCAUUGGGAGUGCUCUAAACAAGGCCUUUAUACUCGUGUACGGAUCGGUGGAAUUAAUUAAAAUGCUAGUAAUUUUGGGAGGUGGCCCCCAAUAAUCCAUGCCUUUGACUUUGUGUGGGUCGAUGUAUCGACAACCACUUAUUUGUGCCGACAAUUUUAGUACUUGCCACGUGCUGCAUUAGGGAAGUCAUGUCUUUUAUAUUUUACGAAUUUUUUUUACACAACUAAUAUUAUGCUAGAGCUUAAUUAGCAUUAAAAUACAUGUGUACACAUGAGCAAAGAACCCUAGCCUAUUAGCAAUAUUACAA